Molecule: ribosomal RNA, 119 nt
Filed under: Triticum aestivum (bread wheat)
Lineage: Eukaryota; Viridiplantae; Streptophyta; Magnoliopsida; Poales; Poaceae
Also listed under: 1 other name
Source: RNAcentral
GGAUGCGAUCAUACCAGCACUAAAGCACCGCAUCCCAUCAGAACUCCGAAGUUAAGCGUGCUUGGGCGAGAGUAGUACUAGGAUGGGUGACCUCCUGGGAAGUCCUCGUGUUGCAUUCC